CAAUAGCGUAUAUUAACGUUGUUGCAGUUAAAAAGCUCGUAGUUGGAUUUCUGGAGGGAGCGUCGGCCCGUAUUUACGAGUGCGUGACGUCUCUGUCCAUCCUUGCGGGAAGGCACGGCAUUGAUUUGUUGUGUCGGAUCGCAUCAUUUACUGUGAAAAAAUUAGAGUGUUCAAAGCAGGCUUUCGCUUGAAUACAUUAGCAUGGAAUAAUAAGAUAGGACUUUGGUGCUAUUUUGUUGGUUGAGCCUAAAGUAAUGAUAAAUAGGGAUAGUUGGGGGCACCUGUAUUGCGUUGUCAGAGGUGAAAUUCUUGGAUUUACGCAAGACAAACAGCUGCGAAAGCGUCUGCCAAGGAUGUUUUCAUUAA
This 366-nucleotide ribosomal RNA is filed under the name uncultured eukaryote. RNAcentral's name for it is "partial 18S ribosomal RNA". It matches the Rfam family "Eukaryotic small subunit ribosomal RNA", at positions 592 to 976 of the family's 1831-position model. The record is from RNAcentral.